ACGGGGUGAUCGGCAUGACAUCAAUGGAUAUGCCAGGCUGCAGGCUACAGUGCCGAGAAGGAGAAGACGGAGGCGGUGGUGAUGUCACCCAAGGAAUUAAGUAAGCAGGGGAGCUGAUAACAUCGUCCAGCCAGGCUCACUGUGGGCAGGGUGACUCACUGAAGACGGCCUGCGAUCGCCAGGUGAUUGUUGUUGUGCCCAGCCUGUGGGGCUGGGGAGGAGGAAGGGGGGCAGGCCACAGAGCUGUGACAAGUUCCUCACCGAGGCCCCUGCUCAGGGGAGAGACCUCAGUACACAGUGUCCUCCACCUCUGAGCCCGGGGCUGGCUCAGGAAACAGCCCCCCUCUGCCUGUGCGAUUAUCUUUGUCCACAGUGUUUGGUGUGUGUUUGUGGGGUGUGUCAGGUGAUUUUCCUGCCCGAAGCCUGCUGGGUGCUCCAGGUACUAGCGAUUGCUCACAGCAGAGCAGUAGCCCCCUCCCUG
Molecule: long non-coding RNA, 481 nt
Filed under: Homo sapiens (human)
Lineage: Eukaryota; Metazoa; Chordata; Mammalia; Primates; Hominidae
Description: non-protein coding lnc-MTA3-3:1
Source: RNAcentral